This is a small nuclear RNA of Macrosteles quadrilineatus (aster leafhopper), 118 nucleotides long. RefSeq annotates it as U4atac minor spliceosomal RNA. The transcript has a single exon. Lineage: Eukaryota; Metazoa; Arthropoda; Insecta; Hemiptera; Cicadellidae. The record is from RefSeq and is a predicted model, not a curated record.
ACCAUCCUUGUCUGGGGAGCGAACUGCCCGAGGAACGUAAGUGAGGGUACGUUUGCUGAAACCAAACAAUUAAAUCCCGCAUCCCACCCUUCGGGGAGGAGUUGCAAUUUUUGAAGCC